GACGAACGCUGGCGGCGUGCUUAACACAUGCAAGUCGAACGGAAAGGCCCUGCUUUUGUGGGGUGCUCGAGUGGCGAACGGGUGAGUAACACGUGAGUAACCUGCCCUUGACUUUGGGAUAACUUCAGGAAACUGGGGCUACUACCGGAUAGGAGCUCCUGCUGCAUGGUGGGGGUUGGAAAGUUUCGGCGGUUGGGGAUGGACUCGCGGCUUAUCAGCUUGUUGGUGGGGUAGUGGCUUACCAAGGCUUUGACGGGUAGCCGGCCUGAGAGGGUGACCGGCCACAAUGGGACUGAGAUACGGCCCAGACUCCUACGGGAGGCAGCAGUGGGGAAUAUUGCACAAUGGGCGGAAGCCUGAUGCAGCAACGCCGCGUGCGGGAUGACGGCCUUCGGGUUGUAAACCGCUUUCGCCUGUGACGAAGCGUGAGUGACGGUAAUGGGUAAAGAAGCACCGGCUAACUACGUG
This 468-nucleotide ribosomal RNA is filed under the name uncultured bacterium. RNAcentral's name for it is "partial 16S ribosomal RNA". It matches the Rfam family "Bacterial small subunit ribosomal RNA", at positions 28 to 507 of the family's 1533-position model. The record is from RNAcentral.